GGGAGGUGGAUGAGAGGAAAGAGGGAAAGAGAGAAGAGAAGGGCAUGUGGUUGGAACAGUACUGUGGAUCUACGGGAGCAGAACACAGAAAGAGACAGGCCUGUCAUAGUGGAUGAGUCUCUAUGGUGGAAGUAAAAAAAGAAGAAGAAAAAGAGAGAAAAAAAGAGUGAAACAAGAAAAAAGAAAGACUGGUGGUGUGGCGUCAUUAUUCCCAAAUAUGAAUGCUUUGUAUAGAAUGGCAUGCGAAGAGUUUCACUAGCACAGACUGGAAUAUGUUCCAUGAUUCAUCCGAUAACAUUGAGGAGUUUACCUUCAAUCACAGUGACCGUACAUAUCCCAAACAGAAGCCAUGGAUUACAGGCAAUAUCCACACGGAACUGAAGGCUAGAGCUGCAGCUUUCAAGUCUAAUCUGAACACUUAUAAUAAAUCCCGCUACAACCUCCGACGAGCCAUCAAACAGGCAAAGAGUCGAUACAGGACAAAGAUCGAAUCCUAUGCUGGCUCUGAAGCUCGUCGGAUGUGGCAGGGCUUGCAAACUAUCCCAAAUUACAAAUGGUAACCCAGCCGCAAGUUGCCCAGUGACGCGAGCCUACCAGACAAGCCAAAUGCCUUUUAUAUUCGCUUCGAGGCAAGCAACACUGAACCAUACAAGAGAGCACCAGCUGUUCCAGACAACUGUGUGAUCUCGUUCUCCGUAGCCUAUGUGAGUAUGACCUUUAAACAGGUUAAUAUUCACAAGGCCUUGGGGACAGAUUGAUUACCAGGAUGUGUACUCAGAGCAUGCUGACCCUCAACACGAGGGCCCCUCCUGUACUCCCUGUUCACCAAUGACUGUGUGGCCACGCACAACACCAUCAUAACAUUUGCUAACGACAUGACAAUAGUAGGCUUGAUUACCAACAAUGAUGAGACAGCCUAUAGGGAGGAGGUCAGUGACCUGGCAGUGUGGUGCCAGGACAACAACCUUUCCCUCAACAUCAGCAAGACAAAGGAGCUGACCGUGGACUACGGGAAACGGAGGGCCGAGCAUGCCCCCAUCCACAUCGACAGGGCUGUAGUGGAGCGGGUCGAGAGCUUAAUGUUCCUCGGUGUCCAUAUCACUAAGGAGUUAACAUGGUCCACACACACACCAACACAGUUGUGAAGAAGGCAGGCAAACCCCUCUUCCCCCUCAGGAGGCUAAAAAGAUUUGGCAUUGGCCCUCAGAUCCUCAAAAAGUUAUUCAGCUGCAACGUUGAGAGCAUCUUGACUGGCUGCAUCCCCGCUUGGUAUGGCAACUGCUUGGCAUCCGACCGCAAGGCGCUACAGAGGGUAGUGUGUAUGGCCCAGUACAUCACUGGGGUCGCUCCCUGACAUCCAGGACCUCUAUACUAGAAGGUGUCAGAGGAAGGACCUAAAAAAACAAAAGGCAAGCAGUACCGAUGCAUCAUGUCUGGAACCAACAGGACCCUGAACAGAUUUUACCCCCAAGCCAUAAGAGAGCCAAAUAGUUAACCAAUAGCUACCCGGACUAUCUACAUUGACCCCCUUAGCACUAACUACUUGAAUCAUCACGUACACUGCUGCUACUGCAUAUUAUCUAUCCUUUUGCCAAGUCACUUAACCCUACCUAUAUGCACAUACAGUAUUUACCUCAAUUACCUCGUACCCCUGUAAACAUCGACUCGGUACUGGUACCCCGUGGACAGUGCCUUCAGAAAGUACUCACAACCCUUGACUUUUAUAUAUAUUUAGAUUUGUCACUGGCCUGCACACAAACCCCCAUAAUGUCAAAGUAGAAUGUUUUUCGUAAUUUUUACAAAGCCAAUAAGUAUUCAACCCCUUUGUUAUGGCAAGCCUAAAUACGUUCAGGAGCAUGGACUCACUCUGUGUGCAAUAAUAGUGUUCAUUUAAUAUGAUUUUUGAAUGACUACCUCACCUCUGUGCCCCACACAUACAAUUAUCUGUAAGGCCCCUCGGUCGAGCAGUGAAUUUCAAACACAGAUUCAACACUUUGACAAGGGAGGUUUUCCAAUUCCUUGCAAAAAAGGGCACCUAUUUGUAGAUGGGUAGUAAAAAAGAAAAGCAGACAUUGACUAUCCCUUUUAGCAUGGUGAAGUUAUUCAUUACACUUUGGAUGGUGUAUCAAUACACCCAGUCACUACCAAGAUACAGGCAUCCUUCCUAACUCAGUUGCCAGAGAGGAAGGAAACCACUCAGGGAUUUCACCAUGAGGCCAAUGGUGAAUUUAAACAGUUACAGUUUAAUGGCUGUUAUAGGAUAAAAAUGAGGAUGGCUCAACAACAUUGUAGUUAAUCCACAAUACUAACCUAAUUGACAGAGCGAAAAGAAGGAAGCCUGUACAGAAUCAAAAAUAUUCCAAUACAUGCAUAUUGUUUGCAAAAAGGCACUAAAGUAAUACUGCAAAAAAUGUGGCAAAGCCAUGGGGCAUAUCCAAUGCAACACAUUACUGAGUAACACUCUCCAUAUUUUCAAGCAUAGUGGUGGCUGCAUCAUGUUAUGGGUAUACUUGUAAUCAUUAAAGGUCCCACUCAGUCAUCCUAUUUCCCAAGUAAAAAUUGCCUUUGAAUGACCAAAACAUCCCCCAUAAUAUGUUUACACUAUUAAAAUGCACAGACCUGAAUUUGCUUUACCUUUUCUCUCAUCUCUAACUAUCAGGAAGCCUGAAAGAACCGGCUGAGUGGGCGGGGAGCUUAUAUUCAUGAUCUCGCCUUGAAUGCAGCUCUUUGAAACACCCUUGUGUUCGUUGCAAGGUAACAAGGUCAACAAUGGGCCACAUGUCAUUGAUGACCAGGUGAACAAUGGGCCACGUCAUUCCAAGCGUAAAUAAUAUACCUCACCCCAUUUUCUCAGCAAAUGGCUCUCACGGGCAACAGAACUGAUCAUGGACUUUUGGAUAUCAGUCAAACAGCAGCAACACAAAAUUGCCUUUCUAUAGUUUUUUUAACUCAUUACAGAAUAAAGUUCACUGAUACAUAUCCGUGGGAAGUAGGGGUGCUGAGGGUGCUGCAGCACCCCCUGAAAAAUCAGAAAAAAUAAGUAAAUAAUACAAAUAAAAGACUCACAAAAGUAGUGCAGUGGGCCUUUAAUAGUCCUAUAUUAGUGGAUAUAUCCGUCUACAGCACCAUUCUAUUGGUGCCUCUGCAUUAGUAUUAUAAAUGACAAUAUGUUCCGAAUUUUAUUUAUUGAUCAGACAUAUAUUUGAUCAUUUACAAUAGGCCAGCACAGUCAAAACAUUGCUCAACACGAACAUGCACGAGAAAAAAGGUGAGAAAUAAUGGUGAGACAUAAUUUGACAGAUAAAAAAUAUUAGAGCCAUAAGCCUAAUACAGUAUAAGCAACCGGCCACCCUAGAAGUGUGCAGUUCCACAUUGAUUCGUAAAAUUUGUAACACUCGUCUCCCGUUCGAAUGCUUGAAAAAUACAAUAGAAAGUAACAAAAUGUGACAUCUUAUCAUGUAAAAGUGAAUUACUAAGGCUUUAGGAAAUGCAACCAACUACAGAGAUUGAUAGGGAGGGGAGCGGUGGGGGACCCAUGUGCCGUACUUCAAUCAAACAGGCUUCAGUCACCCCCAAGAUUGAAGCGGUAGACAAAUCCAGCUAUGGCCUCCUCACACUGGGCAGACAGAAGUCCUGGGAUGGACAGUUCGCACAGCUUCCCCACAUACGGCUCUGGAUGAAGGGCGACCUUGCUGAAGAGGAGAUCCAGAAGCCUGUCUACGUAGCCG
This 3728-nucleotide long non-coding RNA is filed under the name Salmo salar (Atlantic salmon). Its description in RNAcentral is "lncRNA (ENSSSAG00000091984.1)". The record is from RNAcentral. Lineage: Eukaryota; Metazoa; Chordata; Actinopteri; Salmoniformes; Salmonidae.